GUAGGUGAACCUGCGGAAGGAUCAUUAACGAAGACUUGGGCGCCCGCGCCCUUCUCGUCGUCCACCCUGUGCACCGAGACUUUUUUCGCGCUCCAAAUGUCGAGGAUGAUAACGAAAUUAAAUUGGCACAAAAUGAAGCAACGGAUCUCUUGGCUCUC
Molecule: unclassified non-coding RNA, 158 nt
Filed under: rhizosphere metagenome
Description: partial ribosomal RNA internal transcribed spacer region
Source: RNAcentral